RNAcentral lists this ribosomal RNA (301 nucleotides) under uncultured bacterium. RNAcentral describes it as "partial 16S ribosomal RNA". It matches the Rfam family "Bacterial small subunit ribosomal RNA", at positions 509 to 807 of the family's 1533-position model. The record is from RNAcentral.
CAGCAGCCACGGUAAUACAGAGGGUGCGAGCGUUAAUCGGAUUUACUGGGCGUAAAGCGUGCGUAGGCGGCUUCUUAAGUCGGAUGUGAAAUCCCUGAGCUUAACUUAGGAAUUGCAUUCGAUACUGGGAAGCUAGAGUAUGGGAGAGGAUGGUAGAAUUCCAGGUGUAGCGGUGAAAUGCGUAGAGAUCUGGAGGAAUACCGAUGGCGAAGGCAGCCAUCUGGCCUAACACUGACGCUGAGGUACGAAAGCAUGGGGAGCAAACAGGAUUAGAUACCCGGGUAGUCCCUGUCUCUUAUAC